This 889-nucleotide ribosomal RNA is filed under the name uncultured bacterium. RNAcentral describes it as "bacterial SSU rRNA". It matches the Rfam family "Bacterial small subunit ribosomal RNA", at positions 12 to 916 of the family's 1533-position model. The record is from RNAcentral.
UUUGAUCCUGGCUCAGGAUGAACGCUGGCGGCGUGCCUAAUACAUGCAAGUCGAACGAGAAAGUCACCUUCGGGUGAUGAGUAAAGUGGCGCACGGGUGAGUAACACGUAGAUGACCUGCCCCGGAGAGGGGGACAACCAUUGGAAACGAUGGCUAAUACCCCAUAAGCCCACAGUGCUUAGAAAGCAGUGGGAAAAGUUCCGGCGCUCUGGGAGGGGUCUGCGGCCCAUCAGCUAGUUGGUAGGGUAACGGCCUACCAAGGCGAAGACGGGUAGGGGGCCUGAGAGGGUGGUCCCCCACACGGGAACUGAGACACGGUCCCGACUCCUACGGGAGGCAGCAGUAAGGAAUAUUGCGCAAUGGGCGAAAGCCUGACGCAGCAACGCCGCGUGCCCGAUGAAGGCCUUCGGGUUGUAAAGGGCUUUUCUGGCUGAAGAGACAAAGGACAGUAGGCCAGGAAUAAGUGUCGGCUAACUACGUGCCAGCAGCCGCGGUAAAACGUAGGACGCAAGCGUUAUCCGGAUUUACUGGGCGUAAAGCGUGGGCAGGUGGCAGGCCAAGUCGGAUGUGAAAGCUCCUGGCUCAACUGGGAGAGGCCAUUCGAGACUGGUCAGCUGGAGGGCAGUAGAGGGGCGUGGAAUUCCGGGUGGAGUGGUGAAAUGCGUAGAGAUCCGGAGGAACACCAGAAGCGAAGGCGGCGCCCUGGGCUGCACCUGACACUGAGCCACGAAGGCGUGGGUAGCAAACGGGAUUAGAAACCCCGGUAGUCCACGCGGUAAACGAUGUCAACUAGGUGUUGGUGGUGUAAAAGCCAUCAGUGCCGAAGCUAACGCGAUAAGUUGACCGCCUGGGGAGUACGGCCGCAAGGCUAAACUCAAUGAAUUGACGG